Molecule: long non-coding RNA, 1813 nt
Organism: Pan troglodytes (chimpanzee)
Lineage: Eukaryota; Metazoa; Chordata; Mammalia; Primates; Hominidae
Source: Ensembl
AUGGCGGCGGACACGCAGGUUUCCGAGACACUAAAGCGUUUUGCAGGGAAGGUGACAACAGCCAGUGUAAAGGAACGGAGAGAAAUCCUCAGUGAACUUGGGAAGUGUGUUGCUGGAAAAGAUCUUCCAGAGGGAGCAGUGAAGGGGCUCUGCAAAUUGUUCUGCUUGACUCUGCAUCGAUAUAGAGAUGCAGCCUCCCGCAGGGCCUUGCAGGCAGCCAUCCAGCAGUUGGCUGAGGCCCAGCCAGAAGCCACUGCUAAGAACCUUCUACACUCUCUGCAGUCUUCUGGUAUAGGCUCCAAAGCAGGUGUUCCCAGUAAGAGCAGUGGCUCUGCCGCCUUGCUGGCCUUGACCUGGACCUGCCUCCUGGUGCGCAUUGUCUUUCCAUCGAGAGCCAAGCGACAAGGAGACAUCUGGAACAAACUGGUGGAAGUGCAGUGCCUGCUCUUGCUGGAGGUGCUGGGUGGCUCCCACAAGCACGCCGUGGAUGGUGCUGUGAAGAAACUCACGAAGCUGUGGAAAGAGAACCCUGGGCUGGUGGAACAGUACUUGUCAGCCAUUCUCAGCCUAGAGCCCAACCAGAACUAUGCCGGCAUGCUGGGGCUGCUAGUGCAGUUCUGCACGAGUCACAAGGAGAUGGACGUGGUCAGUCAGCACAAGAGCGCCCUACUGGACUUUUACAUGAAGAACAUCCUGAUGAGCAAAGUCAAGCCUCCGAAGUACCUGUUGGAUAGCUGUGCCCCUCUGCUCCGAUACCUGUCCCACUCAGAAUUUAAGGAUCUGAUACUGCCCACCAUACAGAAGUCCUUACUGAGGAGUCCAGAGAAUGUUAUUGAAACUAUUUCUAGUCUGCUGGCAUCAGUGACGCUUGACCUCAGCCAGUAUGCCAUGGACAUCGUGAAAGGACUGGCUGGUCACCUGAAAUCCAACAGUCCCCGCCUGAUGGAUGAAGCUGUGCUGGCACUGCGGAACCUGGCACGCCAGUGCAGUGACUCUUCGGCCAUGGAAUCCCUGACCAAGCACCUAUUUGCUAUCCUCGGAGUUUUUUGUAGGAACAUUCUUUUUUGAGUCAGAAAGCAAAAGGCUAGUAAAAGUUGUUUUAAACCCAGCUUCACAACACAAAGGCUACUUCUGGAAUCAGAAACCGUAUCGUGGCAUCACACACGUGACUGCAUUGUUCACUCUCUUGGGAAAUGUGGCAUAUGUGAAUGUGAAUCUUUGCUGUCUCUCUUCUCAGGCUCGGAAGGAAAACUAACUGUUGUAGCCCAGAAGAUGAGCGUCCUCUCAGGUAUAGGAUUUCUCUUUUUUUUUUUUUUUUUUUUUUUUUGAGAGAAAGUCUUGCUGUGUCAUCUAGGAUAGAGUGCAGUGGUGCCAUCUCAGCUCACUGCAACCUCUGCCUCCCAGGUUCAAGCGAUCCUCAUGCCUCAGCCUCCUUAGUAGCUGGGAUUACUGGUGCGCACCACCACGCCUGCUAAUUUUUUUGUAUUUUUAGUAGAGAUGGGGUUUCACCAUAUUGGCCAGGCUGGUCUUGAACUCCUGGCGUCAAGUGAUCUGCCCGCCUCAGCCUCCCAAAGUGCUGGGAUUACAGGCAGGUACAGGAUUUCUCUGCCAGGAGUAGAGCUGUGAUCUGGUAGUAGAUAAGCUUUUUUUUUUUUUUUUUUUUUUUUUUGAGAUGGAGUCUCACUCUGUCGCCAGGCUGGAGCGCAGUGGCACAAUCUUGGCUCACUGCAACCUCUGCCUCCUGGGUUCAAGCAAUCCUCCUGCCUCAGCCUCUUGAGUAGCUGGGACUACAGGCACACACCACCACAUCCAG